Podarcis lilfordi (Lilford's wall lizard) is the source of this 74-nucleotide non-coding RNA. The record is from the annotation of a GenBank genome assembly. Lineage: Eukaryota; Metazoa; Chordata; Lepidosauria; Squamata; Lacertidae.
UAGGGUAGCUCAGUUGGUAGAGCAUGAGACUCUCAAUCUUAAGGUUGCGGGUUCAAGCCCCACAUGGGGCAAAA